RNAcentral lists this ribosomal RNA (447 nucleotides) under Polaromonas sp. R-38414. Its description in RNAcentral is "bacterial SSU rRNA". It matches the Rfam family "Bacterial small subunit ribosomal RNA", at positions 21 to 470 of the family's 1533-position model. Lineage: Bacteria; Pseudomonadati; Pseudomonadota; Betaproteobacteria; Burkholderiales; Comamonadaceae. The record is from RNAcentral.
GGCUCAGAUUGAACGCUGGCGGCAUGCCUUACACAUGCAAGUCGAACGGUAGAGUAGCAAUACUCGAGAGUGGCGAACGGGUGAGUAAUAUAUCGGAACGUGCCCAACUGUGGGGGAUAACGUAGAGAAAUUUACGCUAAUACCGCAUACGAUCUAUGGAUGAAAGCGGGGGAUCGCAAGACCUCGCGCAGUUGGAGCGGCUGAUAUCAGAUUAGCUUGUUGGUGAGGUAAAAGCUCACCAAGGCGACGAUCUGUAGCUGGUUUGAGAGAACGACCAGCCACACUGGGACUGAGACACGGCCCAGACUCCUACGGGAGGCAGCAGUGGGGAAUUUUGGACAAUGGGCGAAAGCCUGAUCCAGCAAUGCCGCGUGCAGGAAGAAGGCCUUCGGGUUGUAAACUGCUUUUGUACGGAACGAAACGGUCUGCUUUAAUACAGUGGGCUAA